GAUGAAGAACUUAGCGAAAUGCGAUAAGUAAUGGGAAUUGCAGAAUUCAGUGAAUCAUCGAAUCUUUGAACGCACAUUGCGCCCCCUGGUAUUCCGGGGGGCAUGCCUGUCCGAGCGUCAUUACAACCCUCAAGCUCAGCUUGGUGUUGGGCCCCGCCGCCCCGGCGGGCCCUAAAGUCAGUGGCGGUGCCGUCCGGCUCCGAGCGUAGUAAUUCUUCUCGCUCUGGAGGUCCGGUCGUGUGCUCGCCAGCAACCCCCAAUUUUUUUCAGGUUGACCUCGGAUCAGGUAGGGAUACCCGCUGAACUUAAGCAUAUCAAUAAGCGGAGGA
This 329-nucleotide unclassified non-coding RNA is filed under the name soil metagenome. RNAcentral's name for it is "partial contains 5.8S ribosomal RNA, internal transcribed spacer 2, and large subunit ribosomal RNA". The stretch from base 1 to 120 matches the Rfam family "5.8S ribosomal RNA", at positions 35 to 154 of the family's 154-position model. The record is from RNAcentral.